UACAGAGACUGCGAGCGUUAUUCGGAUUCACUGGGCGUAAAGGGCGCGCAGGCGGCCGAGUGUGUGAGGCGUGAAAGCCCGGGGCUUAACCCCGGAAUUGCACCUCAAACUACACGGCUAGAGCAUUGGAGAGGGUAGCAGAAUUCAUGGUGUAGCAGUGAAAUGCGUAGAUAUCAUGAGGAAUACCAGAGGCGAAGGCGGCUACCUGGACAAUUGCUGACGCUCAGGCACGAAAGCGUGGGGAGCAAAAGGG
This 253-nucleotide ribosomal RNA is filed under the name uncultured bacterium. RNAcentral describes it as "partial 16S ribosomal RNA". It matches the Rfam family "Bacterial small subunit ribosomal RNA", at positions 524 to 776 of the family's 1533-position model. The record is from RNAcentral.